Molecule: non-coding RNA, 1092 nt
Organism: Microcebus murinus (gray mouse lemur)
Lineage: Eukaryota; Metazoa; Chordata; Mammalia; Primates; Cheirogaleidae
Source: RefSeq, a predicted model, not a curated record
UGCACCAGCUCUGGAAAGUUCUGCGCUGAACUUGGCCGCAGGAUGUGCACACCCUCGACAGCUGCGGACCACGGCUCAGAUUAGACAUUCGCGCACACGCCUUAAACCACCCACGGAACUACCGGUGACACACUAUCCUCCCCUCCCCCAACGCCGCAGCCAGCUCUCUCUGAAAACUGAUACCCUGAGGCCCUUUUUCCCUUUACCAGCCACGAUUAGGAGCAGUAAGAGAGAAAAUGCGGACCGGAUCGUGGCACACAGGCAGUGCUCCAAACUCUCAUUUUCUUCUGUGUGUUUCGAAAAUUCAGAGAAGAGACACUUGGAUAUAAGCAACCAUAACCUGGGCGUGGUUCCAUCUGAGCUCCACGGCGCCCUGGUCGCCCUCUGCUGGCCGAUCUGAGCAACGUGUCACCGUGUCGGAAGGCCUUUUCAGAACGUCCCAAAUUUAUGUCGAAGGACAAAUACGAGGCUGCUUUGCUAAGGCUCUAACGUACCUGUUUCAUGUGCAUUUUAUUUGUCUUAACUCACGCAUGUGGUAGUAGUGAAAGAGGAUCGCAGGUGUUUUCCUUCGACGAUGUUACAGGGGAUUAAUUAUAAAUGAAUGAUUUCAGAAUUCACCCCCAAAUCUCAAAACAGAAACAAAAAAAAAAACGUCGUCAUUUCUCCUGGGUUUAAACUUAGAGUGAAAUUGCUUAGUUAAGUGUUUGGUUUCAGUAGAGCAUAAAGCCCUGGAAAAAAGCCAAUUACAACAGUCGAUCUGGAAAAGCUAUUUUUGCAUGCAGGAAGGGAGAGAUUGGCUUUGUCUAGUCAGUGCUCUGAGAAAGAUGCGAGUGCAGGUUUGGACUAAGGAAGUCGUCAAACUGUAGGUAAAAAAAAAAAAAAGACGUGAAUUCAUCCAUUGAAAUUGUUUUUAUGACAUUUAAGAAUCAUAAAUUAUUAUUGUGGGAAGACACACAGUAUAUGCUAUAUAGGAUUUUCCAAAAUGUUCAGUAUCAGAGGGGAUUUAAGAGGCGUGGAGGUUGGCCAGAUUGGUGGCGCAUGCCUGUAGUUCUGGCUGCCUGAGAGGCUGAGGCAGGAGGAUCGCUUAGCCCA